GACAUCGUAGCUCAGUUGGCAGAGCAUUGGACUAGUAUCCCAAAGGUCGCGGGUUCGAUUCCCACCGUGGUCA
Molecule: transfer RNA, 73 nt
Filed under: Paramuricea clavata
Lineage: Eukaryota; Metazoa; Cnidaria; Anthozoa; Malacalcyonacea; Plexauridae
Rfam family: tRNA
About the family: Transfer RNA (tRNA) molecules are approximately 80 nucleotides in length. Their secondary structure includes four short double-helical elements and three loops (D, anti-codon, and T loops). Further hydrogen bonds mediate the characteristic L-shaped molecular structure. tRNAs have two regions of fundamental functional importance: the anti-codon, which is responsible for specific mRNA codon recognition, and the 3' end, to which the tRNAs corresponding amino acid is attached (by aminoacyl-tRNA synthetases). tRNAs cope with the degeneracy of the genetic code in two manners: having more than one tRNA (with a specific anti-codon) for a particular amino acid; and 'wobble' base-pairing, i.e. permitting non-standard base-pairing at the 3rd anti-codon position.
Source: Rfam by way of RNAcentral